AUGCCCGACUUGGGAACACAUAUACUAAAAUUAGAAUAAUACAUAGAAAAUUAGCAUGGCUUCUGUGCAAGGAUGACACACACACAUUUUUGAUGUUUUAUAUAUACAU
Small nuclear RNA from Arvicola amphibius (Eurasian water vole), 109 nucleotides. Lineage: Eukaryota; Metazoa; Chordata; Mammalia; Rodentia; Cricetidae. The record is from RefSeq and is a predicted model, not a curated record.